RNAcentral lists this ribosomal RNA (526 nucleotides) under uncultured eukaryote. RNAcentral's name for it is "SSU rRNA". It matches the Rfam family "Eukaryotic small subunit ribosomal RNA", at positions 75 to 604 of the family's 1831-position model. The record is from RNAcentral.
UAUACAGCGAAACUGCGAAUGGCUCAUUAUAUAAGUUAUCGUUUAUUUGAUAGUGCCUUACUACUUGGAUAACCGUGGUAAUUCUUGAGCUAAUACAUGCUAAAAACCCCGACUUCGGAAGGGGUGUAUUUAUUAGAUACAAAACCAAUGCCCUUCGGGGCUCUUUGGUGAUUCAUGAUAACUAUACGAAUCGCACGGCCUUGCGCCGGCGAUGGUUCAUUCAAAUUUCUUCCCUAUCAACUUUCGAUGUUUGGGUAUUGGCCAAACAUGGUUGCAACGGGUAACGGAGGGUUAGGGCUCGACCCCGGAGAAGGAGCCUGAGAAACGGCUACUACAUCCAAGGAAGGCAGCAGGCGCGCAAAUUACCCAAUCCCGACUCGGGGAGGUAGUGACAAUAAAUACUGAUACAGGGCCCUUUCGGGCCUUGUAAUUGGAAUGAGUACAAUUUAAAUCCCUUAACGAGGAACAAUUGGAGGGCAAGUCUGGUGCCAGCAGCCGCGGUAAUUCCAGCUCCAAUAGCGUAUAU